UGACACCAAGGGCCACACAUCAACAACCACCUAAACCUGGGAUUGCCCUCCUCCCCUCUUCUUUUGGUGGCUGAAGCUCUUCUCCUAUAUUAGUGCAUCAGAAUUCUAGGGGCACCACUGUCUGCUGGGAAGGAAAUGAGCAGGAAUAUUUUCAGCUGCACUGCCAGCAGGUUUCUGCAGUGCCACCAGGGGAAAAAACCCACUGGAAGAGCUGGCUGAACUCACCAAUUCUGCUGGCCUCUGACAUCAGAUGCAGGUCAACAACAACUGUACCAUCACAUGCAACUGGCAAUGCUCCAUCUUCCAUCUAUGCUGGAGCAAAAAGCCUUGCAGGACAUUAAAACAGCGUAAACCAAC
Long non-coding RNA from Cyanistes caeruleus (blue tit), 357 nucleotides. RefSeq lists it as uncharacterized. NCBI's taxonomy places the organism in Eukaryota, Metazoa, Chordata, Aves, Passeriformes, Paridae. The record is from RefSeq and is a predicted model, not a curated record.